Molecule: ribosomal RNA, 528 nt
Filed under: uncultured bacterium
Lineage: Bacteria
Description: bacterial SSU rRNA
Rfam family: Bacterial small subunit ribosomal RNA
Source: RNAcentral
UUCUGGCUCAGGACGAACGCUGGCGGCGUGCCUAAUACAUGCAAGUCGAACGGUCUUUCUAUGGAAGCUUGCUUCCACUGAGAAGAUAGUGGCGAACGGGUGAGUAACACGUGGGUAACCUGCCCAUAAGAGGGGGAUAACAUCCGGAAACGGGUGCUAAUACCGCAUAGUUUUCUUGAUCGCAUGAUCGGGAAAGGAAAGACGGCCUUUGUGCUGUCGCUUAUGGAUGGACCCGCGGCGUAUUAGUUAGUUGGUGAGGUAACGGCUCACCAAGACGAUGAUACGUAGCCGACCUGAGAGGGUGAUCGGCCACAUUGGGACUGAGACACGGCCCAAACUCCUACGGGAGGCAGCAGUAGGGAAUCUUCCGCAAUGGACGAAAGUCUGACGGAGCAACGCCGCGUGAGUGAAAGAAGGUUUUCGGAUCGUAAAACUCUGUUGUCAGAGAAGAACAAGUUGGAGAGUAACUGCUCCAGCCUUGACGGUAUCUGACCAGAAAGCCACGGCUAACUACGUGCCAGCCGCGGC